Molecule: ribosomal RNA, 466 nt
Filed under: uncultured bacterium
Lineage: Bacteria
Description: partial 16S ribosomal RNA
Rfam family: Bacterial small subunit ribosomal RNA
Source: RNAcentral
GACGAACGCUGGCGGCGUGCUUAACACAUGCAAGUCGAACGGAAAGGCCCUGCUUUUGUGGGGUGCUCGAGUGGCGAACGGGUGAGUAACACGUGAGUAACCUGCCUUGACUUUGGGAUAACUUCAGGAAACUGGGGCUAAUACCGGAUAGGAGCUCCUGCUGCAUGGUGGGGGUUGGAAAGUUUCGGCGGUUGGGGAUGGACUCGCGGCUUAUCAGCUUGUUGGUGGGGUAGUGGCUUACCAAGGCUUUGACGGGUAGCCGGCCUGAGAGGGUGACCGGCCACAUUGGGACUGAGAUACGGCCCAGACUCCUACGGGAGGCAGCAGUGGGGAAUAUUGCACAAUGGGCGGAAGCCUGAUGCAGCAACGCCGCGUGCGGGAUGACGGCCUUCGGGUUGUAAACCGCUUUCGCCUGUGACGAAGCGUGAGUGACGGUAAUGGGUAAAGAAGCACCGGCUAACUACGU